Molecule: transfer RNA, 72 nt
Filed under: Candidatus Moraniibacteriota bacterium
Lineage: Bacteria; Candidatus Moraniibacteriota
Description: tRNA-Glu
Rfam family: tRNA
About the family: Transfer RNA (tRNA) molecules are approximately 80 nucleotides in length. Their secondary structure includes four short double-helical elements and three loops (D, anti-codon, and T loops).
Source: RNAcentral
GCCGCUAUCGUCUAGUGGUCAGGACGCCAGGUUCUCAUCCUGGUAACAGGGGUUCGAUUCCCCUUAGCGGUA